AGAGUUUGAUCAUGGCUCAGAACGAACGCUGGCGGCGUGCUUAACACAUGCAAGUCGCGUGCGCAGUUUCCGUAGCAAUACGGGGAUGGGCGCACGGCGCACGGGUGCGUAACACGUGGGCAAUCUGCCCUCCGAUGGGGAAUACCCCCGCGAAAGCGGGACUAAUUCCGCAUAACAUUCCUUGGAUUAACUUUCGAGGAUUCAAAGCAGCAAUGCGUCGGAGGAGGAGCCCGCGCCCGAUUAGCUAGUUGGUGAGGUAACGGCUCACCAAGGCAAUGAUCGGUAGCUGGUCUGAGAGGAUGGCCAGCCACACUGGAACUGAGACACGGUCCAGACUCCUACGGGAGGCAGCAGUGGGGAAUCUUGCACAAUGGGCGAAAGCCUGAUGCAGCGACGCCGCGUGGGGGAUGAAGCUUUUCGGAGUGUAAACCCCUUUCGACUGGGACGAAUGCCUCGCAAGAGGAGUGACGGUACCAGUAUAAGAAGCCCCGGCUAACUACGUGCCAGCAGCCGCGGUAAGACGUAGGGGGCCAGCGUUGUUCGGAAUUACUGGGUGUAAAGGGUUCGUAGGCGGUGUGGCAAGUCGGGGAGUGAAAUCUCUGGGCUCAACCCAGAGACUGCUUCCGAAACUGCUGUGCUUGAGUGUGAGAGAGGCUCGUGGAAUUGCAGGUGUAGCGGUGAAAUGCGUAGAUAUCUGCAGGAACACCCGUGGCGAAAGCGGCGAGCUGGAUCACUACUGACGCUGAGGAACGAAAGCUAGGGGAGCAAACAGGAUUAGAUACCCUAGUAGUCC
This 793-nucleotide ribosomal RNA is filed under the name uncultured bacterium. RNAcentral's name for it is "bacterial SSU rRNA". It matches the Rfam family "Bacterial small subunit ribosomal RNA", at positions 8 to 796 of the family's 1533-position model. The record is from RNAcentral.